AUGGGUUUGCUGAGUCAACUCUUCUGCCUUCUAUUUUGGCUCCCAGCUGCCACCGGAAGCACUGUGUUGAGCCAGUCCCCGGCCCUCCUCUCUGUGUCUCUAAGAGAGAGUGUCUCCAUGACUUGCAAGGCCAAUCAGAGUAUUAGUGAUUACCUGACCUGGUACCAGCAGAAACCAGGUCAGGCUCCUAAACUUCUCAUCUACGAUGCUGAUGACCCAUAUACUGAUGUCCCUGCUAGGUUCACUGAAAUUCAGUCUGGAACAGAAUUCAUUCUCAAAAUCAGUGAGGUGGAGGCUGAUGAUGCCGCCACUUACUACUGUCAGCAGGAUUAUUUAGUUCCUCCCACAGUGUUACAGUCCUGAACACAUACUAUCCUCCCAGGCUGCUUGUAUGGUGACCGCAGGUGGGUCCAGCAGCUGCAAUCUGUCCUAUAGUCUGUUCACAUGUGAUGGUCUGUUUUUGGGGAAGGUUCCACAGGGCUCAUGGGCAAAGGCCUGCAAGAAACUUGAGUACUUCAAAAGCUUCCUUUCUUGAUGA
Molecule: non-coding RNA, 538 nt
Organism: Myotis myotis
Lineage: Eukaryota; Metazoa; Chordata; Mammalia; Chiroptera; Vespertilionidae
Source: the annotation of a RefSeq genome assembly